AGAGAGGUAGCUCAGUGGUUAAGAGCACUGGCUGAUAUUCCAGAGGACCCAGGUUCAAUUCCCUGGUUGUCUG
This 73-nucleotide transfer RNA is filed under the name Neotoma lepida (desert woodrat). It matches the Rfam family "tRNA". From Rfam's summary of the family: Transfer RNA (tRNA) molecules are approximately 80 nucleotides in length. Their secondary structure includes four short double-helical elements and three loops (D, anti-codon, and T loops). The record is from Rfam by way of RNAcentral. Lineage: Eukaryota; Metazoa; Chordata; Mammalia; Rodentia; Cricetidae.